UUUGAUGGGUUGACUUGGUUUUGAAUUCACAGGUUGAACCUCUUGAGUUGCUCGCGCAGCCGCAAGACGCUCUAUGGUGGAAUUCCUGAGGACUGGCUUGUUUGACUUUGGAGUCUCCUGAGAUUGGGACCGGAGAAAAUACUGGAGUCUUCAUUUGGAGGCCAGCUUUUAUUUCCCUGGUAAUAUGAAGGGGGAACCUGCAUUCCAGGGUAGAGGUAACUGGGAAACGGAUGCAUCUGUGGGAAGAAAGGACCUUGAAAAUUUUGCAUAUACUGUGAAAUGUGAUUGUGCCAUGGCAUUGGAACUUGCCCCAUUCCAUCCGGGAAUGGCAUUGGUGCUGUCGUCGGCAACCUAGUAUCUGCACCAAACAUUAAUCAGCAUUAGGAUGCAAAAUUUUUUUCCAAACAAAGAUCAAGAGAAAUGCAGAAUCCAUGAAACCGAGACUAUGACAAGUGAUCUGUUCUUAGAUUUUUUGGAGAUAUCUGCCAAGAAAGCACUAAGGUAUUAAACCUUGUGUGUGCACUUCCAUCCGUGUGUUGCAUGAAAGGGAGAAGGUGACCAGAAGAGGAGAAGUUGAACCACUAAAGAACAUGUUUGUCAUCAGAACAAGCUCAAAAGUUGCAAUCAUUUUCUUCAAGAUAUUCUAUGCAGCAAAAGCACAACAGCAGACAGUGAAAGAACAUGCAUGUCACUGACUCUUAAAUUUUUUUGACAAAUUUCUUGUGCAUCACAUGGCAGGUGAAACGUAUCAUGACAAGUGAAACAUCUGAAGUCGAAUAUCAUGUUUAUAUUCCCUAA
Molecule: long non-coding RNA, 798 nt
Organism: Syzygium oleosum
Lineage: Eukaryota; Viridiplantae; Streptophyta; Magnoliopsida; Myrtales; Myrtaceae
Exons: 2
Source: RefSeq, a predicted model, not a curated record